ACUUGCGAACCACGACGACACUGGUAGAAAUCCUGGGCUCUUUCAUGUCUCAAGUCAAGAGUUCUUACAUCCAAGCACAGAGCUCGGCGCUAGAUCUCGAGCAUCCCGGCACCGAUUUCUGGGUGGCCGCGGUUGCGCUCCCCGGCUCACUCAUCGCGGUCGUAGCUGCGGCGCAGCCUUUCAUCAACUUCCAGCUCACGUUCUUCCGAAACUUGGUGAGAUCACAGGGCUGGAAAACGGCACUUCUGUGUGUCAGUAACUCCGUGCUCGCUCUCGGCUCGUACUCGGCGAUCAUCACCGUGACUCCAACCGAGAUCCAGAGGCAGGAGAAACUGAGGACCUGGGGAUUGCUUGCAGACCAGGUUCCAAUCACGACCCGUGGGCUCCAAGUUUUGGUAGUGGUCAAGGGGGAAUCAAGUUACAGAUCGGACAGCCUCUUGCUUGUGUGGUGUUCCACUGCCGUGCUUGUUCCUGUCAUCGCCUGGAUGACGUUUUACAGGUGCAAACAAGUGUUUUACGUGAGGAGGAUGCUCAAACUCUUGGCUGAGCUGGAGCCUGAACGCCACGACGCCGACGAAAGCAAUGACGAGAGACUUGAUGACCUGCGAGCCAUUGAGAUGGGUUCCGUGGAGCAGCAGCAACUCGAGAAGAGGCUUGCAAAGAUGAACGCCAUGCCUGGGACGAGCAUGGUGACAUCUGUUAAAUCACUGGCUCGCCAAAGACAAUCCUUAACACGUAGGACGAGAUCUAACUUGUAGAAUAUUCUUCAAGCUCCUACCCUCUCGAAAUUCUUUGAACGGCUUCUACAACUGCUGUGGAAUCUGCUAACCACCAACUGAAUGUGGUAUUUGCUGGUACGACUGUUGAACUAGAACUUUUGACUUCAGAAAAACAAAUGCAUUUUCAUCAAAAAAAAUUCCAAGGCCACUACAUUUGCUGGGCAGUACGAAUUAUAAUUUCUCAGAUUGUGCCACUGUGCCAUGCUCAACGGCAUGGCUGUAUUUUUUUUACUUCAAAAUUGAGUUUUCUUACUUCAAAAUUGAUUUUUCUCUCUUCAGAUCUGAUUAUCUUCCCUAAAAAAUUAAUUUCUCAUUAGGGUGAUGGCUUUCCCUUUCCCCUCGCCGCCGCCGCCGCCACAUGAAGUGGGAUUGGAGGAGGCAACGUUAAUCAAAAGGGGAAGAGCUUUCAGGCCCGUGCCAGGGGAUCUAGCUAAUGUAGGGGCGUUUGCAACAUGGGUCCAGGAAAAUCUCCCCUUGGUGCAUGCCAUUCUUGGCCCCUUGCAAUGAUCCGCUUCCUCGUGAGUUCGCUUUGAAGCUCGCCCAGUUGAAGGUAAGGGUUUGUUUGUGCUGGUUGGCUGGUUGCUGUGUGCCUUCUUUGCUGACUAUCUUAUGAUACAGUGCCCCAAGUGCCUCAGGAGGGGCUACCGAAUUUGGUGCCCUUCUCGGAUGUGGUUUGCGACUUCACGCUUCCGUUCAGAGGUCGAGACGGCCUUGUGCAGAAGCUUGCAGAGACGAUUGACGACCUUCACAACUUUCGCAUCUACUGGGAUUAACAGAGAGCAGGCGGAAGACUCGAUUCCUUUUAGAGACUGGAGAGGCGCUUAAAGGCAAUUUGUAAUUUCAAAACCAAGAAAAUAAUUCAUUUGUCUUUGAAUUCAAUUUAUUUCUUCUCCAAAAAAGACUUUGCAGGCACCUCCCUGUCAAUUGUUGCUAACUAGCUUUGCAUGCUUGCUUACUUGCUUCUGCUGAUGCUGCACACGUCCAGAAUUAUAGCCUUGUCCACCACUGUUGGAGUCUAGGAAAAUUUACCAUUGGUCAUUUUUACCCCUUGUGGCUGGAUGAAGAUUGUCCAGUUGCAAGGGCGCAAUGAUGUGCUUCCUCAUGAGUUUGCUAUCCAUUUGCGUGAAGCCAGAUUGUCCAGUUGCCAUGUAUCAUCGUUGGUGUCCCAUUUUGACUCACCAUCUCUUUGAUAUAGUCCCACAUAGUACACGUCUUUCCCUUGAGAUUGGAUGUAUAAAUCCAGAAGCAGUACCUCAAAUCUUUGCUUGCAUCUGGUAUGAUUCACUAUCAUGACAAAGAAGCAAAAGUUUGUGUCACUAGCUACUAUCUUGGCGAUCAUAUUGACCAUGGUUGAUCUCCAAGCGAGAGCUUCAAUCUCAGUUCACAAGGGCGACCUUGCGGCUCUCUCAUGCUUCAGCGCCAUCUUGAGCAUGAAUGGCGACGCCUCGCACAAAUGCAACUGGUGGCAGUUCCUCCAGUACUUGCAAUCCAGCAGCGACCAGGCCUUCCUGGGGUACAUGGUCUCCAACUUCACUGGCCAGAGCAAUCUCACAGCGGAGAUCCGCGAGAAAGGGGGACUCCUGUCCACCAGGAACGCUUCCCUCAUGGAAUUCCACUCGGUCUCCAAGAUCAAUAAGCUGGGAAGCAUGGAGAUCACGAUGUGGGCUUUGGGAUUCCUCUGCCUGGAUGAGGCUCCAAGCUGCGUCAAGUUCACACCCGUGGUGCUCCAAGCGAUCCCUGGUUCUUCCCCAAGCAAGUUGGGGUUUUUCAGCUUGUGGGAAGAGCAGGACGGCGGGAUCCUGGCGAACUCGGUCGCGUCCAAAGUGCUGACCCUCGAUAAUUGGAGCAUGAGCAAGGAGAGUUUGAGUGGAAUGAAUCUGAGAAGCCUCGACGCCAAGCUCGAUCUCUGCAAAGGCUUGGAACUUCAUCCAGCGCAUGACAGGAGCAACCAGGAAUUAUUGGGAGGUCUUGAUCUGCAGAGCUUCGACGUGAAAACAGCCCCGGAAGCUGCGGGAUUCAGGCUCAACGAGAGGGUGACAAGCAUCACUCGACCAAACAGGCGCUUGUGUUUGCUGGGGAUCGAUGACAACACCACCGGAUCAUCUUUGGAUUCCUCGUUGUCCUUCGACUUGCGAAUCACGACGACACUGGUAGAAAUCCUGGGCUCUUUCAUGUCUCAAGUCAAGAAUUCUUACAUCCAAGCACAGAGCUCGGCGCUAGAUCUCGAGCAUCCCGGCACCGAUUUCUGGGUGACCGCGGUCGCGCUCCCCGGCGCAUUCAUCGCGGUCGUAGCUGCGGCGCAGCCUUUCAUCAACUUCCAGCUCACGUUCUUCCGAAACUUGGUGAGAUCACAGGGCUGGAAAACGGCACUUCUGUGUGUCAGUAACUCCGUGCUCGCUCUCGGCUCGUACUCGGCGAUCAUCACCGUGACUCCAGCCGAGAUCCAGAGGCAGGAGAAACUGAGGACCUGGGGAUUGCUUGCAGACCAGGUUCCAAUCACGAACCGUGGCCUCCAAGUUUUGGUAGUGGUCAAGGGGGAAUCAAGUUACAGAUCGGACAGCCUCUUGCUUGUGUGGUGUUCCACCGCCGUGCUUGUUCCUGUCAUCGCCUGGAUGACGUUUCGCCGGUGCAAACAAGUGUUUUACGUGAGG
This 3430-nucleotide long non-coding RNA is filed under the name Selaginella moellendorffii. RNAcentral describes it as "long non-coding RNA (SMOE_LNC000620)". Lineage: Eukaryota; Viridiplantae; Streptophyta; Lycopodiopsida; Selaginellales; Selaginellaceae. The record is from RNAcentral.